GGGGGAGCGAGACCAGCCCCCCGGCCCGGGGUCCCCCAAUCCCACCCACCUCCAACUCCACGCUAGAAGACACGGUUUAUUGAACACCUCUCUCAUUCAUUAAUUGAAAAACUCAACAAUGGCUGCUUACCAGAGUACCCAAAGUCAAACAGUACCAGACCCAUAAGAGGCGUCCAAUAUUUGCCGAAUGGAGCUCACAAUUGUGUUUACAUGUGAGAAAUUGGUGAAGAAACAAGAUCAAGUCAGCACAGUCCUGCUGACAAAACUGGUUCAGGCCAAAUGGGCCGAACCAUGAGGAAUAUAAUUUAUUUUACUUUGACAAGCUUGAGCUUGAGGACUUAAACUUUUUUAAAAAAUAUUUUUUAAUUGAUUUUUCUAGAGAGACAGCUGACAGCUUCCAAAGAGAAACACCAAUGAGAGAGCAUAGAUCGAUGAUCACUGAACCCGCAACCCUGGCAUGUGCUCUGCCAUCCAAAACCAUGACCUCCUGGUUCAUAGGUCGAUGCUCAACCACUGAGCCACACCAGCUGGGCUAUUCUCUUUUCUUUGUAACAUUCUGGUAGUGUUUAUGAUUUGCAAGUCUUAAGACUCUUGAAUAAAUCUUUGUCAUUUA
Molecule: long non-coding RNA, 613 nt
Organism: Eptesicus fuscus (big brown bat)
Lineage: Eukaryota; Metazoa; Chordata; Mammalia; Chiroptera; Vespertilionidae
Exons: 2
Source: RefSeq, a predicted model, not a curated record